AUUGAACGCUGGCGGCAUGCCUUACACAUGCAAGUCGAACGGCAGCACGGGAGCAAUCCUGGUGGCGAGUGGCGAACGGGUGAGUAAUAUAUCGGAACGUGCCCAGUCGUGGGGAUAACGUAGCGAAAGCUACGCUAAUACCGCAUACGAUCUAUGGAUGAAAGCGGGGGAUCGCAAGACCUCGCGCGAUUGGAGCGGCCGAUAUCAGAUUAGGUAGUUGGUGAGGUAAAGGCUCACCAAGCCGACGAUCUGUAGCUGGUCUGAGAGGACGACCAGCCACACUGGGACUGAGACACGGCCCAGACUCCUACGGGAGGCAGCAGUGGGGAAUUUUGGACAAUGGGCGCAAGCCUGAUCCAGCAAUGCCGCGUGCAGGAUGAAGGCCUUCGGUUGUAACUAGCUUUGUACGGUAACGAAACGGUACGAGCGUCUAAUACAGUUUGUCUAAUGACGGUACCGUAAGAAUAAGACACCGG
RNAcentral lists this ribosomal RNA (476 nucleotides) under uncultured bacterium. RNAcentral's name for it is "bacterial SSU rRNA". It matches the Rfam family "Bacterial small subunit ribosomal RNA", at positions 30 to 497 of the family's 1533-position model. The record is from RNAcentral.